UACGGAGGGAGCUAGCGUUGUUCGGAAUUACUGGGCGUAAAGCGCACGUAGGCGGAUUGCUAAGUCAGGGGUGAAAUCCUGGAGCUCAACUCCAGAACUGCCUUUGAUACUGGCGAUCUUGAGUCCGGGAGAGGUGAGUGGAACUGCGAGUGUAGAGGUGAAAUUCGUAGAUAUUCGCAAGAACACCAGUGGCGAAGGCGGCUCACUGGCCCGGUACUGACGCUGAGGUGCGAAAGCGUGGGGAGCAAACAGG
Molecule: ribosomal RNA, 253 nt
Filed under: uncultured bacterium
Lineage: Bacteria
Description: partial 16S ribosomal RNA
Rfam family: Bacterial small subunit ribosomal RNA
Source: RNAcentral